AAUCUCUGGCUUCCGGUCAAGACAUGGAAUAAAUCUUUCGCCUUUUACUAAAGAUUUCCGUGGCCAGGAGCAUUUAAUGAGUCUAUAGACUAAUUUUUGGCGUCCCGUCUUCGGAUGGGAC
This 121-nucleotide small nuclear RNA is filed under the name Strigamia maritima. RNAcentral describes it as "U5 spliceosomal RNA". It matches the Rfam family "U5 spliceosomal RNA". From Rfam's summary of the family: U5 RNA is a component of both types of known spliceosome. The record is from Rfam by way of RNAcentral. Lineage: Eukaryota; Metazoa; Arthropoda; Chilopoda; Geophilomorpha; Linotaeniidae.